RNAcentral lists this ribosomal RNA (468 nucleotides) under uncultured bacterium. RNAcentral describes it as "partial 16S ribosomal RNA". It matches the Rfam family "Bacterial small subunit ribosomal RNA", at positions 28 to 507 of the family's 1533-position model. The record is from RNAcentral.
GACGAACGCUGGCGGCGUGCUUAACACAUGCAAGUCGAACGGAAAGGCCCUGCUUUUGUGGGGUGCUCGAGUGGCGAACGGGUGAGUAACACGUGAGUAACCUGCCCUUGACUUUGGGAUAACUUCAGGAAACUGGGGCUAAUACCGGAUAGGAGCUCCUGCUGCAUGGUGGGGGUUGGAAAGUUUCGGCGGUUGGGGAUGGACUCGAGGCUUAUCAGCUUGUUGGUGGGGUAGUGGCUUACCAAGGCUUUGACGGGUAGGCGGCCUGAGAGGGUGACCGGCCACAUUGGGACUGAGGGACGGCCCAGACUCGUACGGGAGGCAGCAGGGGGGAAUAUUGCACAAUGGGCGGAAGCCUGAUGCAGCAACGCCGCGUGCGGGAUGACGGCCUUCGGGUUGUAAACCGCUUUCGCCUGUGACGAAGCGUGAGUGACGGUAAUGGGUAAGGAAGCACCGGCUAACUACGUG